AUUGAACGCUGGCGGCAUGCUUUACACAUGCAAGUCGAACGGCAGCACGAAAGAGCUUGCUCUUUUGGUGGCGAGUGGCGAACGGGUGAGUAAUGCAUUGGAACGUACCGAGUAAUGGGGGAUAACUGUCCGAAAGGAUGGCUAAUACCGCAUACGCUCUGAGGAGGAAAGCGGGGGACCUACGGGCCUCGCGUGAUUCGAGCGGCCAAUGUCUGAUUAGCUAGUUGGUGGGGUAAUAGCCUACCAAGGCGACGAUCAGUAGCGGGUCUGAGAGGAUGAUCCGCCACACUGGGACUGAGGCACGGCCCAGACUCCUACGGGAGGCAGCAGUGGGGAAUUUUGGACAAUGGGCGCAAGCCUGAUCCAGCCAUGCCGCGUGUAUGAAGAAGGCCUUCGGGUUGUAAAGUACUUUUGUCAGGGAAGAAAGAGCUUGGGUUAAUAGCCCAAGUUUAUGACGGUACCUGAAGAAUAAGCACCGGCUAACUACGUGCCAGCAGCCGCAGUAAAAC
This 509-nucleotide ribosomal RNA is filed under the name uncultured bacterium. RNAcentral's name for it is "bacterial SSU rRNA". It matches the Rfam family "Bacterial small subunit ribosomal RNA", at positions 30 to 526 of the family's 1533-position model. The record is from RNAcentral.